Molecule: long non-coding RNA, 1351 nt
Filed under: Sus scrofa (pig)
Lineage: Eukaryota; Metazoa; Chordata; Mammalia; Artiodactyla; Suidae
Description: lncRNA (ENSSSCG00070003531.1)
Source: RNAcentral
GAAUGUCAUUUCAGAAACUUUGCUGCCCCCGGCUUGCAGCCCCUCACGUCCCCCUCAACUCCUCACUCGCCCCAGACCAAGCCUCAGGCUGAACCUAAACUUGCAGCUGUGUUCCCACAGGUCCUUCCUGCCUAGGCUGGACCCAGUCUGCCCUUGCACCCAUCUCCAUUACCCCUUGGGCACCAAUUCUCUUGGAGGUGCACGGUGCUGAGAGCUGGGGUGAGGGCAGGCAGUGGCAGCCUGGGAACUGGAGCCAAGGGGAAGGUGGCCUGGCCGGCCCUGCCAGUGCUGGGCUCUGCAUCCUGGCCAUUCCUACGCAAGGAUUAAAGGCUCUCACACCUGCUUUGUGACUUUGGGCCCUGAUUUAACUCUUCCCUUUCAUCCUUUGCCAGACUAAGAACCAGAAUAAGCCCAGCAAUGCUUGGGUCAGGCAGGGAAGCCUUUGGAGAGCCCAGAUCUGGCUAUGUAGAAACCCGUGGGCAACUGCCCCCUCUUGCCACUCAGAAGAUGCCCCGUCAGAGGCCAGCUAUAGGAAGCUGGCUUGUUGUGGCCUCCUAAAGUGACCUGGGUCAAGUCCCUAGGAGCACUUCUGGUGGAGACCCCUGGGAUUCUAAGAAAAAGCUGCAUACCUCAGUUUCUCCAUAUAAGCUGGAAUCUGGGCGAGGAUUCCGGUCCUGGACAGUGACCCUUCCCCCAUUUUUCUCUACUGCAACAGCUACUACGAUCUGGAUUACGAGCUGUACAGGGAAGAAUUCCCCUACAGGUAGGCGGGUCCUGCCCCCUCGGUCCUCUCGGGGAAGCAGGUUGGGCUGGUUGGCCUGACAUCUCUCUGUCCUGUCCCCACAGGGUGUGUGACUACCAAAGGAUCCCUCCACUAAUCAACCGUGCACCUACCAAGAUCCGGGGGACCCACGUGGGCCCGGGGGUCAAGCACAGCUUUAGUCCCCACAAGACUCCCAGGACUAGUCAACUGCCUGCAGGGCAGAUAAAGCUCCAGACUGAGGAGCUGCACUCCAUCAGAGGAGAGCUGAGCCAGAUCAAAGCCCAGGUGGAUCACCUGCUGGAGACUGUGGACCGCAUGGACCAGCAGAUGGACCAGCUUCCAGGGACGGAGGACUGCGAACAGAACCGGAGCUCCAGGAGUAAGGGUCCCUCAUACAGAACCGUAGAACCUCAUCAGGAGCCUACAGGCCAGAGGACCCAUCCAGAGGCAGACAGCUCCCCGAUCACAGACCCAGAAGACCCCAAGGAGGCAGUGAGUGGCCUGGUGCCGCCCCCACCCCCAUCCUCAGCCUUAUGUUUGGGUCCUUAUGGCCUCCCUGUGAGCAAGGAGGAUCUUGGGUUUGUGCAA